Transfer RNA from Agarivorans albus MKT 106, 73 nucleotides. It matches the Rfam family "tRNA". Rfam says of the family: Transfer RNA (tRNA) molecules are approximately 80 nucleotides in length. Their secondary structure includes four short double-helical elements and three loops (D, anti-codon, and T loops). Lineage: Bacteria; Pseudomonadati; Pseudomonadota; Gammaproteobacteria; Alteromonadales; Alteromonadaceae. The record is from Rfam.
GGGUUGUUAGCUCAGUUGGUAGAGCAGUUGACUUUUAAUCAAUUGGUCGAAGGUUCAAAUCCUUCACAACCCA